Molecule: ribosomal RNA, 406 nt
Filed under: uncultured bacterium
Lineage: Bacteria
Description: partial 16S ribosomal RNA
Rfam family: Bacterial small subunit ribosomal RNA
Source: RNAcentral
AUUGAACGCUGGCGGCAGGCCUAACACAUGCAAGUCGAACGAGCGGCGGACGGGUGAGUAAUGUCUGGGAAACUGCCCGAUGGAGGGGGAUAACUACUGGAAACGGUAGCUAAUACCGCAUACUAUCGGAUGUGCCCAUAUGGGAUUAGCUAGUAGGUGGGGUAAAGGCUCACCUAGGCGACGAUCUCUAGCUGGUCUGAGAGGAUGAGCAGCCACACUGGGACUGAGACACGGUCCAGACUCCUACGGGAGGCAGCAGUGGGGAAUAUUGCACAAUGCGCGCAAGCCUGAUGCAGCCAUGCCGCGUGUAUGAAGAAGGCCUUCGGGUUGUAAAGUACUUUCAGCGGGGAGGCGUUACCCGCAGAAGAAGCACCGGCUAACUCCGUGCCAGCAGCCGCGGUAAUAC